GAUGGGGGUGCGCUAGCGCAUGCAGUCGAACGCUAAAGCUUGCUGCUUGCACUGGGUGGAUGAGUGGCGAACGGGUGAGUAAUACGUGAGUAACCUGCCCUUGACUCUGGGAUAAGCCUGGGAAACUGGGUCUAAUACUGGAUACGACGGCGCAUCGCAUGGUGUGUCGUGGAAAGGGUUUUACUGGUUUUGGAUGGGCUCACGGCCUAUCAGCUUGUUGGUGGGGUAAUGGCUCACCAAGGCGACGACGGGUAGCCGGCCUGAGAGGGUGACCGGCCACACUGGGACUGAGACACGGCCCAGACUCCUACGGGAGGCAGCAGUGGGGAAUAUUGCACAAUGGGCGGAAGCCUGAUGCAGCGACGCCGCGUGAGGGAUGACGGCCUUCGGGUUGUAAACCUCUUUCAGCACGGAAGAAGCGAGAGUGACGGUACGUGCAGAAUAAGCGCCGGCUAACUACGUGCCAGCAGCCGCGGUAAUACGUAGGGCGCAAGCGUUGUCCGGAAUUAUUGGGCGUAAAGAGCUCGUAGGCGGUUUGUCGCGUCUGCUGUGAAAGCCCGGGGCUUAACCCCGGGUGUGCAGUGGGUACGGGCAGACUUGAGUGCAGUAAGGGAGACUGGAAUUCCUGGUGUAGCGGUGAAAUGCGCAGAUAUCAGGAGGAACACCGAUGGCGAAGGCAGGUCUCUGGGCUGUUACUGACGCUGAGGAGCGAAAGCAUGGGGAGCAAACAGGAUUAGAUACCCUGGUAGUCCAUGCCGUACACGUUGGGCACUAGGUGUGGGGAACAUUCCACGUUUUCCGCGCCGUAGCUAACGCAUUAAGUGCCCCGCCUGGGGAGUACGGCCGCAAGGCUAAAACUCAAAGGAAUUGACGGGUGGCCCGCACAAGCGGCGGAGCAUGCAGAUUAAUUCGAUGCUACGCGAGAACCUUACCAAGGGCUUGACAUACACCGGACCGGGCCAGAGAUGGUCUUUCCCCCAUUGUGGGGCUGGAUGUACAGGUGGUGCAUGGGUUGUCGUCAGCUCGUGUCGUGAGAUGUGGGUUAAGUCCCGCAACGAGCGCAACCCCUCGCUUCUAUGCUGCUAGCCACGUGAUGUGGGCACUCAUAGUAGACUGCCGGGCAUCAACUCGAGAAAGGUGGGGAUGACGUCAAUCCAUCAUGCCCCGUAAUGUCUGACUUCACGCAAUGCUUACCAUUGCCAGGUACAAUGGGAUGGCUAUGCAUGAGGUGGAUCUAAGUCCAAAAGCAUGAAGCUUCUAUGA
This 1263-nucleotide ribosomal RNA is filed under the name Kocuria sp. RNAcentral describes it as "bacterial SSU rRNA". It matches the Rfam family "Bacterial small subunit ribosomal RNA", at positions 35 to 1297 of the family's 1533-position model. The record is from RNAcentral. Lineage: Bacteria; Bacillati; Actinomycetota; Actinomycetes; Micrococcales; Micrococcaceae.